Molecule: ribosomal RNA, 1346 nt
Filed under: uncultured bacterium
Lineage: Bacteria
Description: bacterial SSU rRNA
Rfam family: Bacterial small subunit ribosomal RNA
Source: RNAcentral
GACGAACGCUGGCGGCGUGCUUAACACAUGCAAGUCGAACGGAAAGGCCCUGCUUUUGUGGGGUGCUCGAGUGGCGAACGGGUGAGUAACACGUGAGUAACCUGCCCUUGACUUUGGGAUAACUUCAGGAAACUGGGGCUAAUACCGGAUAGGAGCUCCUGCUGCAUGGUGGGGGUUGGAAAGUUUCGGCGGUUGGGGAUGGACUCGCGGCUUAUCAGCUUGUUGGUGGGGUAGUGGCUUACCAAGGCUUUGACGGGUAGCCGGCCUGAGAGGGUGACCGGCCACAUUGGGACUGAGAUACGGCCCAGACUCCUACGGGAGGCAGCAGUGGGGAAUAUUGCACAAUGGGCGGAAGCCUGAUGCAGCAACGCCGCGUGCGGGAUGACGGCCUUCGGGUUGUAAACCGCUUUCGCCUGUGACGAAGCGUGAGUGACGGUAAUGGGUAAAGAAGCACCGGCUAACUACGUGCCAUCAGCCGCGGUGAUACGUACGGUGCGAGUGUUGUCCGGAUUUAUUGGGCGUAAAGGGCUCGUAGGUGGUUGAUCGCGUCGGAAGUGUAAUCUUGGGGCUUAACCCUGAGCGUGCUUUCGAUACGGGUUGACUUGAGGAAGGUAGGGGAGAAUGGAAUUCCUGGUGGAGCGGUGGAAUGCGCAGAUAUCAGGAGGAACACCAGUGGCGAAGGCGGUUCUCUGGGCCUUUCCUGACGCUGAGGAGCGAAAGCGUGGGGAGCGAACAGGCUUAGAUACCCUGGUAGUCCACGCUGUAAACGGUGGGUACUAGGUGUGGGGUCCAUUCCACGGGUUCCGUGCCGUAGCUAACGCUUUAAGUACCCCGCCUGGGGAGUACGGCCGCAAGGCUAAAACUCAAAGGAAUUGACGGGGCCCCGCACAAGCGGCGGAGCAUGCGGAUUAAUUCGAUGCAACGCGUAGAACCUUACCUGGGUUUGACAUGGAUCGGGAGCGCUCAGAGAUGGGUGUGCCUCUUUUGGGGUCGGUUCACAGGUGGUGCAUGGCUGUCGUCAGCUCGUGUCGUGAGAUGUUGGGUUAAGUCCCGCAACGAGCGCAACCCUUGUUCACUGUUGCCAGCACGUUAUGGUGGGGACUCAGUGGAGGCCGCCGGGGUCAACUCGGAGGAAGGUGGGGAUGACGUCAAGUCAUCAUGCCCCUUAUGUCCAGGGCUUCACGCAUGCUACAAUGGCUGGUACAGAGAGUGGCGAGCCUGUGAGGGUGAGCGAAUCUCGGAAAGCCGGUCUCAGUUCGGAUUGGGGUCUGCAACUCGACCUCAUGAAGUAGGAGUCGCUAGUAAUCGCAGAUCAGCAACGCUGCGGUGAAUACGUUCCCGGGGCU